Molecule: ribosomal RNA, 673 nt
Filed under: Haliphthoros sp. NJM 0449
Lineage: Eukaryota; Oomycota; Peronosporomycetes; Pythiales; Haliphthoraceae
Also listed under: 1 other name
Description: eukaryotic LSU rRNA
Rfam family: 5.8S ribosomal RNA (bases 217-370)
Source: RNAcentral
GGAAGUAAAAGUCGUAACAAGGUUUCCGUAGGUGAACCUGCGGAAGGAUCAUUACCACACCAAAAUAAUGUCCACGUGAACCUGUUUUUGUUUGUACUUGAUUACAUGAUUUGUUUUGUGUAUUCGAGUAGGAAGUAUUGUCAAGAUACUUCUGUUUUUUAAACCAUGAACAAUUUACUAUAAUACUAAAUCUAGAAAUCUUUUUAAUGAAAGUACAACUUUCAGCAGUGGAUGUCUAGGCUCGCACAUCGAUGAAGAACGCUGCGAACUGCGAUACGUAAUGUGAAUUGCACGAAUCAGUGAGUCAUCGAAAUUUUGAACGCAUAUUGCACUUCCGGGUAUUCCUGGGAGUAUGCUUGUAUCAGUGUCUGUAUACUUCCUCACCUUUUUGUAGUCCUUUUUGGAUUGCUAUUUGUGUGGAUUGUGAAAGUCUAUUUCCACUUGUUGGUGAUAGUCUUUUGAAAUAUACAAACAAUGGAUGUAUGCUUUGUAAUAUGUUCUUGUAUGCAAAAUGCGGUAAUAGGCGUUUUCGUUUAUGAUGCAAUUGUGUAUGGGAAUGUUUAGUAUGUAUCUGUGUGUUCUAAUGGGAAAUUGUAGCUUGCUACUCUUUUUUAUUAGACCUGAUAUCAAGCAAGAUUACCCGCUGAAUUUAAGCAUAUCAAUAAGCGGAGGA